Molecule: microRNA precursor, 86 nt
Filed under: Drosophila grimshawi
Lineage: Eukaryota; Metazoa; Arthropoda; Insecta; Diptera; Drosophilidae
Description: mir-1002 microRNA precursor family
Rfam family: mir-1002 microRNA precursor family
Source: Rfam by way of RNAcentral
UGAAAAUUUAACACUUAAGUAGUUGAUACAAGGGCGAGUUUCAUAAAGUAUCGCAUUGUGUGACCUACUUGAAUGAGAGAUUUUUA